RNAcentral lists this RNase P RNA (353 nucleotides) under Chloroflexota bacterium. RNAcentral's name for it is "Chloroflexi bacterium RNase P RNA component class A". It matches the Rfam family "Bacterial RNase P class A". From Rfam's summary of the family: Ribonuclease P (RNase P) is a ubiquitous endoribonuclease, found in archaea, bacteria and eukarya as well as chloroplasts and mitochondria. Its best characterised activity is the generation of mature 5'-ends of tRNAs by cleaving the 5'-leader elements of precursor-tRNAs. The record is from RNAcentral. Lineage: Bacteria; Bacillati; Chloroflexota. RNAcentral also lists the same sequence under 1 other name.
CGGGUUGGCUGGAUGGUCGCGGGUGGUGAGGGUUCUGCCCUCAUCACCUGAGGAAAGUCCGCACUCCACAGGGCACGGUGCCGGGUAACACCCGGGCGGGGAAACCCGACGGCAUAGUGCAGCAGAGAGGUGUAUUGCCGGUGCAAACCGGCGAGGGUGAAACGGUGCGGUAAGAGCGCACCGGCACGUCUGGUAACAGGCGUGGCCAGGCAAACCCCACCGGGAGCAAGGCCAAGCAGGAGCAAUAGGACGGCCCGUCCUGCUCCGGGUAGGCUGCUCGAGGCGGUUGGCAACAACCGUCCCAGAUAGAUGACCGUCCAUGACAGAAUGCGGCUUAUAGGCCAACCUGAGCA